CAGAAGCUACCCCGCUCCUGCAAUGGCUCGACGGCUCCCUCUUGUGUCCAAACCUGAAGCCACACCAUGCCCGGGGGUUAAAAACGACAGCAGUGGACAGAGAAGAUGGUUAUGUCUAUAAAAGCAGGAGCUAAAGCUCCAAGGAUUGCCAUUCACACGGGUGUGAGAAGGAGAAGAGGCCUGGAAGUUUUUGAUGCAUCCCCAAUGUCUAACUUUACUUUGGAAACCCUUUGGAGUUUGGCAGGACAAGUAGACACUGCCUCCCUGUGAUCUACUAACAAGGUGUAAAUGACUACAGAAGGAGCAAGGGAGUGGAGAAUCAGACCCCAGGAAGGAACCAGCAGAAAUCUUUAGAGGGAGAGAAGCUCCUUGUGCUUUCCAGAAGAUGGCGCUCAUUCUCCAUUGGAUUGGGGAGCAGCCUGCACCUGAGGCAGAGAAUGGAGCUACUUGAACAAGAUGAAAUGAUACUUUGCUUGAGCCUGAGCUGCUGUCACAGUCUCUCACCCAACGUCAACUCAGCACCUUCUGCUGUUUUCAUCGUAGACAUCAGAUCCCUGCAGGUUCUGAGAUGGGGUGACACUAGAACAGGGAGUGACAAACAAAGUAUCAUGGGACAAGAAGAAAGGGCACGUUACCCCCAGGCAAGUUGGAGAGUUUUUCCGAAUGGGAUUUCACUGGUCUAUAAUAAAUGUUCCAGUCACAGAAUAUCAGGGUUUGGAAGGGACCGCAAGCGGUCAACUGGUCUAACCCCUUCUCAGAGCAGGACCAAUCCCCAGACAGAUUUUUACCCUAGUUCCCUAAAUGCCCCCUUCAAGGAUUGAACUCACAACCCUGGGUUUAGCAGGCCAACGCUCAACCCACUGUAAAAACGAAGAAUCUCAGUGCUUAAAGAAACACUGGACUAAAUAGUGACCAAAGCAAAAAGAGAAAGAAAAAUGUAGCUCUUUGGUACAAAUUAAAAAAAAUAAAUACUGCAUGUAACACA
Molecule: long non-coding RNA, 985 nt
Filed under: Gopherus agassizii (Agassiz's desert tortoise)
Lineage: Eukaryota; Metazoa; Chordata; Testudines; Testudinidae
Description: lncRNA (ENSGAGG00000002999.1)
Source: RNAcentral